This 294-nucleotide ribosomal RNA is filed under the name Klebsiella pneumoniae. Its description in RNAcentral is "partial 16S ribosomal RNA". It matches the Rfam family "Bacterial small subunit ribosomal RNA", at positions 316 to 602 of the family's 1533-position model. The record is from RNAcentral. Lineage: Bacteria; Pseudomonadati; Pseudomonadota; Gammaproteobacteria; Enterobacterales; Enterobacteriaceae.
GAACUGAGACACGGUCCAGACUCCUACGGGAGGCAGCAGUGGGGAAUAUUGCACAAUGGGCGCAAGCCUGAUGCAGCCAUGCCGCGUGUGUGAAGAAGGCCUUCGGGUUGUAAAGCACUUUCAGCGGGGAGGAAGGCGAUAAGGUUAAUAACCUUGUCGAUUGACGUUACCCGCAGAAGAAGCACCGGCUAACUCCGUGCCAGCAGCCGCGGUAAUACGGAGGGUGCAAGCGUUAAUCGGAAUUACUGGGCGUAAAGCGCACGCAGGCGGUCUGUCAAGUCGGAUGUGAAAUCC